CAAGUACCGUGAGGGAAAGUUGAAAAGAACUUUGAAGAGAGAGUUCAAUAGUACGUGAAACCGUUCGGGGGUAAACGGACAGAGCCCGUGAAUCCGGGCGCGCGGAAUUCAGGACCGAUCGGCGAACGCUUUCGGGCGUUCGCGUCGAUUCGAUAUUUCCGUCGCCGACCCUCAACCGAGGGUGUCGGACGUCGCGACCCGUUCGCCAUUUUGUCGAUGCUAAGGGACGCGUUUUCGGUUCGCCAGCGCGGUCGCCUCGGCGGUCGCGCGACGACGACGCGUUUCCGUUGUUUUCGACGCGGACGGUAGCUUUGCGCGCGGGUAUUCGACGCGGCCCUUCGCUCGGCGCUCUCGUGCGCCGGGUGGCGCUCGCGUCGACGCCGGU
Molecule: ribosomal RNA, 385 nt
Filed under: Ceroplastes glomeratus
Lineage: Eukaryota; Metazoa; Arthropoda; Insecta; Hemiptera; Coccidae
Description: eukaryotic LSU rRNA
Rfam family: Eukaryotic large subunit ribosomal RNA
Source: RNAcentral